AACGCUACUGGGAGGCCUAACACAUGCAAGCUGAGCGGUAGAGAUCUUUCGGGAUCUUGAGAGCGGCGUACGGGUGCGGAACACGUGUGCAACCUGCCUUUAUCUGGGGGAUAGCCUUUCGAAAGGAAGAUUAAUACCCCAUAAUAUACUGAAUGGCAUCAUUCGGUAUUGAAAACUCCGGUGGAUAGAGAUGGGCACGCGCAAGAUUAGAUAGUUGGUGAGGUAACGGCUCACCAAGUCUACGAUCUUUAGGGGGCCUGAGAGGGUGAUCCCCCACACUGGUACUGAGACACGGACCAGACUCCUACGGGAGGCAGCAGUGAGGAAUAUUGGACAAUGGGUGAGAGCCUGAUCCAGCCAUCCCGCGUGAAGGACGACGGCCCUAUGGGUUGUAAACUUCUUUUGUAUAGGGAUAAACCUACCCUCGUGAGGGUAGCUGAAGGUACUAUACGAAUAAGCACCGGCUAACUCCGUGCCAGCAGCCGCGGUAAUACGGAGGGUGCAAGCGUUAUCCGGAUUUAUUGGGUUUAAAGGGUCCGUAGGCGGAUCUGUAAGUCAGUGGUGAAAUCUCACAGCUUAACUGUGAAACUGCCAUUGAUACUGCAGGUCUUGAGUGUUGUUGAAGUAGCUGGAAUAAGUAGUGUAGCGGUGAAAUGCAUAGAUAUUACUUAGAACACCAAUUGCGAAGGCAGGUUACUAAGCAACAACUGACGCUGAUGGACUAAAGCGUGGGGAGCGAACAGGAUUAGAUACCCUGGUAGUCCACGCCGUAAACGAUGCUAACUCGUUUUUGGAAUGUAAG
This 802-nucleotide ribosomal RNA is filed under the name Flavobacterium sp. PF7. Its description in RNAcentral is "bacterial SSU rRNA". It matches the Rfam family "Bacterial small subunit ribosomal RNA", at positions 32 to 834 of the family's 1533-position model. The record is from RNAcentral. Lineage: Bacteria; Pseudomonadati; Bacteroidota; Flavobacteriia; Flavobacteriales; Flavobacteriaceae.